This 406-nucleotide ribosomal RNA is filed under the name uncultured bacterium. Its description in RNAcentral is "partial 16S ribosomal RNA". It matches the Rfam family "Bacterial small subunit ribosomal RNA", at positions 29 to 526 of the family's 1533-position model. The record is from RNAcentral.
AUUGAACGCUGGCGGCAGGCUUAACACAUGCAAGUCGAGCGAGCGGCGGACGGGUGAGUAAUGUCUGGGAAACUGCCUGAUGGAGGGGGAUAACUACUGGAAACGGUAGCUAAUACCGCAUACCAUCAGAUGUGCCCAGAUGGGAUUAGCUAGUAGGUGGGGUAAUGGCUCACCUAGGCUGCGAUCCCUAGCUGGUCUGAGAGGAUGACCAGACACACUGGAACGGAGACACGGUCCAGACGCCUAAGGGAGGCAGAAGUGGGGAAUAUUGCACAAUGGGAGCAAGCCUGAUGCAGCAAUGCCGCGUGGGUGAAGAAGGCCUGCGGGUUGUAAAGAACUUUCAGCGAGGAGGCGUUACUCGCAGAAGAAGCACCGGCUAACUCCGUGCCAGCAGCCGCGGUAAUAC